UCCAUUAUAAAAACGUGAUUUUUUUGAAGAUCUCUUGAAAAAUUCAAAGCUCUGAAUGGUUUUUUGGAAAAGCAUGAUUUUUUGAAAAAAAUCAUAAUUUAAUCAGAUAUUUACUAAGUAUAGUUAGGACACGACAACGAUAGACUCCUAUUUAAAUGGAAAAUUAUACACCAUAAUAUUGAAGAUCGUUUGGUGCAAUGCCUUGAAGCCAGCUUUUGGCUGAAUGCGUAAAGGGAAAAAAAAAAAAAAAACUAAGAAGAAGGAAAAUGACCUCUACCCUCCUCCCUGAAAUUUCCAUCCCUAUUAGUUUCUGGAGUUCACCAAAAUCUCUUGUACCCCCUCACGUUUAAAAUUUUGGUACCUUUAGCUCCCUAAUUAUGUUUUUGUUUGUUCUUUUUAUAAAUUUAAGAUUUUUAUUUUACAAAAUGCCAAACCUUCCAUUAGUCAACUUCCUUUCAUUUCUCUUUCGUUACUUAAAACCAAUCUUACAUCCAUAGACCUCCACUCUAUAAAUUUAGACAUGAAAAGAAAAUAAAUUUUUUUAAUAUUAUGAC
RNAcentral lists this long non-coding RNA (554 nucleotides) under Amborella trichopoda. RNAcentral's name for it is "long non-coding RNA (ATRI_LNC004621)". The record is from RNAcentral. Lineage: Eukaryota; Viridiplantae; Streptophyta; Magnoliopsida; Amborellales; Amborellaceae.